Long non-coding RNA from Trichomycterus rosablanca, 1083 nucleotides. RefSeq lists it as uncharacterized. The record is from RefSeq and is a predicted model, not a curated record. The transcript has 3 exons. Lineage: Eukaryota; Metazoa; Chordata; Actinopteri; Siluriformes; Trichomycteridae.
CUGGGAGUAAACAAACUUUCUCCGGGAGCUUCUAUGAAUGUAGCGGCACCGGCGUAAAAGUCCAAGUUGUUUUAUUGCUGAUAAACACGAUGGAGUAGUGUAGUUGUUGAGUUUCCUCAGUUGAUUGACAGAAUACCUUAACAUCGUGUGCGUGUGGAGAUCAGCUGUAGCUGCUACUCGUGGAAGCGGUGCACAGGACCAGACCACAAGGCAGGGCACACCAGAAAAAUUCAAGUCCAGAAUUGAGUGCCAUUGGAGGGAUGUUUACCUGUGUAACAGAUUCAUUCCACUCCCUCUUCAGAAGUGUGGAGAGUGAGGGCAUCCUAUCUACAGACAAUGAUGUGCACAUUUUCGCCCUUCACUGGGUGUUUCUUCCCAGACUGAAGCAGCACCUUGACUAUUUUGUUGAAGGAUGGAACAGCCAUCCACUAAGAACAUCCACUAAGAGGAAACAAUCUCCUUAGUAGCUGUGGCUCACAAACAGCCACAGUCCAGCCAUUCCAGAUCCACCACAGGUCGAUGAGCUGUAUGGUGUAGACCUUAAACAUCCGUCAGUAAAAUUGGUUAGAUGAUACAAAAGUGAAAGGUUAAUGAACCCACAACUAAUCAACUCCUGACACAUGCACCAUAAAAGAAAUCAAGAAUAGAAUUAUGUACCAGGAUAUUAUAGGAGAAUGUAUUCUAAUUUAUCUAUGAAAGAAAUAAUGGUUAUGUACACUUAAUUAGAUGCAGCCGUAAGUCUCUAGUAAAGAACCUUACCUGAUAAAUGUAUUAGGCUUUUCAAGUCAAUGACACAAAUCACUCACACCGACCCCUAAAACUUGCUGAUGAAAUAUGUUGUUAAUUCCUGGGUAAUCUGCUUUGUAUUCCAACAUUAGAUGAUAUAUUUUCCUCUAAAUUUUGUGGUCUGAGUAAUCAAAUUUAAAUGUUUUAGGUGCAUGAACACACAUCCUUGAGUAAUUCCAUCCAGGUAUUCAAGAUGCAUGGAAAUGGCUCAUUAGCAUAUGUGGUAUAUUGGAACAGAUUUUAUUAAUAUCAGCCAACAUUGUAUAGCACUGAAAUUACAACUAAGCAGUUUUAACC